Cervus elaphus (red deer) is the source of this 316-nucleotide long non-coding RNA. RefSeq lists it as uncharacterized. Lineage: Eukaryota; Metazoa; Chordata; Mammalia; Artiodactyla; Cervidae. The transcript has 3 exons. The record is from RefSeq and is a predicted model, not a curated record.
UAGAAGUUGUAGGUGCUGAGGAUACAGAGGUGAAAAGACCUGGACCUGUCCUCAAGGGACUCAGACUAGAGUGGAGACUGACAUGUAAACAAGAAAGGAUGGCACAGUGCAGCAAGGGCUAUAAUAAAGAUUCUUUACUGCCUGAGCCACCAGGAAAGCCCACAGAUAUAUGUACAUGAAGUUUCUUGUUACUAGUGAAGAAAGAAUUCAUAGGGCCUGGACUCAGUCUGAGGCCUGUCCGUGCUGAUCGUGCUCGGCCGCCUCUCCAGUGGACUCUGAACUCUGCUUAGUGCCUGUGGGAACGACAAUGGAAGGA